Neodiprion fabricii is the source of this 3633-nucleotide long non-coding RNA. RefSeq lists it as uncharacterized. Lineage: Eukaryota; Metazoa; Arthropoda; Insecta; Hymenoptera; Diprionidae. The record is from RefSeq and is a predicted model, not a curated record. The transcript is spliced from 7 exons.
GCCGGGUCGGUAAACAAUCGACGUUUGUUAUUUCUGCCACUGCAAGUUCACACGCGAGGUGUCGGUGCGAAAGUUUAAAAUAACAACUGUCGUUAUUUCCUAAACAAUCAUCGCAGUAAGUAUUAUAAUGUGCGUUCGGAUGUUAUAAUUGGGAAGUAACAAAUCUCGGUACAUGCUGAUGUUACAUAUUCGCGUAGAUCCGGGACAGAGCGUGGCUUUGUACUUGGUUCCUCUGUUUACAAACAUCGAGCUGUGUAUGAGAACGACGGAGGUCACUGAAGUUGGUCACGAAUCUUCAGUUAUUCGCAGAGAGUUGAAAGAUAGUCGGUCAGUGCUCGGUCGCGUACAGACAAGAUUAAACAUGUUCAAUUCAAUUAUACGAGAUUAACAUUUCGGGAAUUAGCAAAGAACCACAUUUUAGCGCGGCGGGGUGAAAUCAUUUCUAUUUAAAACAAUUGAAAAGUGCUGUGCAAAUUGGUUGUCAGUGGAUUACUAUUCCAUGUAAAAUUCAGUAUAUUUACGUACGAAAAUGUACAAACACGCAAACUGGCAUGUUCAUGAUACUUUUAGGUAUAAAAUGACGCAAAUCUGAUCUUCAACGGAUAGCUAAUAUUGUAUUGUGUAGUUUUAUAACUAGGAGUAUAAUUAACAUGACAAUUUGCGUAGCUACAUAUUUAAAAAAAUAAAUAAAUUCAUCGUUCGGGUAUUUAGUUGGUAAUAAAUUCUAGUGUCGUGAGUGCAUCUCUUGAUUGACGCCUGAACAUCACCUGCGGAAAUAUACGUUGCCGAAUGACGCGAAAUACGGGAGGUUGUCCUGCAUGACCGUAGGAUAGUUAUUACACCUAUAUACAUUUACAUGUAUCAGGCGGAUCCACGAUACCCGAGUCCAGAAUGCUUGGAAAACCAGAUCGUGUGAAGUUUAAGAACGGUGCACACGCAGCUGACUCCUGAUGCUGACGGGGUCCGGAACACGGUCCAGAUGCGAGGCCUUGGUUUUUUCAUCAUUUUUCAUCCCCCAAUAAGCCGCACGUCGCUGACAUCCACCACCCUCGUGAGAAAUUUACCAAAUCUUCACACCGACCGAACCGGACGUCCUUGCAAGCAUAUACGAUCAGUUCCGACAUCCUCGAUUGACAAGUUCCCGAUUUCCAGUGAAAAAGUUAGGAUGGACAGCAGUGAUCUUCGGUUAAAUCCUUCUUUUUUUCAGUCAGUGUUUUCGAGAUCAUCACGGAAGUUUGUCAGGCAGACCGACACUCUUUCCUGUUCACGGCGACGAAGACUAUCGCCCUAUAAAACUACGUUUCCAACUGGUUUCAACGGUCUUUCCUCUUCGUCCAACUUUUGAUUCAGACGGUCCGGCCCGAUUCAUCCUUAAUACGCGUGAAUUAAUUAUCGAGCUUGAGCGGGGCAGCUCGCGUUGCACAUAAUGAAUAACAAUGAAGAACAAUAAAGUUCGGGCCAUCAGACCGCACGAAAAUCUCUCUCGGGUCUAUCCGGCGGGCUGCCGUUUCCCUGGGACAUUAACUUUCGACUAAUCCCCGUUUAUGCAAAUCCGGGAGACUCGGAGCAUCUGUUCGCGCAGCGUCGCCGGCCCGAGGGCCCCGAUUCUUGACUCUUAAUUCUCGAUUCUCGGAUCUCGGGCUGCCCCGUAAUCGAGAACGGUUACGUCAUCGUCAUCUAAGUUCAGGAGUUCAGAACGCCGCUGCUGACGCUGCAGAUGCUCGCUAACGAGAACAAUUAGGAGUUCCACUUUACGCUCUAAAAAUAAACACGGGGGCCACUUUAAAACUUUACUGUCAUAACUACCAACCGCUCAACCAGAUGCGACCCCAUCUUAUAUUAAUAUCCCCCCCUCCCCACCCCUCUGCUUGGGACCACCUCUCCCUUAUAACAUGUUCGAGACUCUCUUUCGCAACAUCUUCGGACAGAACGAGAAACUUGGAGGAUGUGAAGAGGGUUCGAGAGUUCUUGGAACCACUUUGGUCAUCAGGUGCAUUUUCCUGGGAAAGCAAUACGGCGCAACUUCCUGCCGCACAUAUGUUCAUCGCAUCCCUGAAUUUGGAGGAAGCUGGUGAGAUCCUUCGAUGCAUCAAGAGCAGCCAGACUACGUGACAAAUUUGAGGAAAAAUGGGCCUGACCGCUUCCACUUAGCGGUCUGUCGGCUUUCCCAUGACGGAAUACCGUCUAUGGGCAUGAAAUUCGUAGACGUAAACGUGUGUGGGACAUUCGUUGCGUCGCGACGUCCCGAGGGGAAGCGGACCCUCCAGGACGGAGACAGUCCGGUCGGUCCGGACGUCGCCAAAGCGAGCAGGUGCUGCUUGAUCCCUGCACUUCCCCUUUUGCAGAUGAAUUUCCGUGUUCAAAAUCGACCCGGAUGAAGAAGACGACCCUCGUGGUGUGUACCUUGUGGGCAAAUGACCGCUUCCACGUCACCCGCAGUAACGAUCGUCGGUUCGUCGAUGUCUUGUUGGACUUGUUGGUUCCGAGUGAUCGGUGAACAGGCGAGUCAGGGAUGAUAAAUCGGGAAGUGACUUUGUUUACCGCGAUGACGUGUUUCAUGUGACUUAAAUCUCGUGCAGCAGUGCACGGAGUGUUCAUUGAUUGGAUCGAAUAAGAUUUAUUGCGGUCACUUCAGUUUUCUAUUAUUUUUUAACUAAAGCUUGGAUAGUGUUAUUUUUGUGAUAUUGAUAAACACUUUCUUCGUUCGAUUGUAAUACCGCCAAUGAGUUUAUUCAAUUAUUACUUUACAUCGAGGAUUGAUAAUAUGUAAUUCGAUUGCCUGAUUAGCUGGUGAAUUAUGAUGGUAUAGUUUUUAAUUGCAGAAUUAUGUAGACGAUUUGUUACUGACAACUUGUCGCUGUGCAUUUUCGUUCGAUGAAUUUUGAAUAACGCCGGCAUAAAACAACUUUAGACGCUUGCUCUGGCGUCAGUUUGUUAGAUGUAACGAUUGUGCAUGAUCUUGAUUGCUUUUUUGCGUUCUUGAGAAUCGGAUUUGUGAAAAUUGGGCCGUACGAACUGAUUACGAGACAAAAAGUUUUUGCAUCCAAAAAUCGCAAACAAGUGAAGAUGACUCGUUCAGAUUUUUUUGGGGAUUUUGGUUGAUUUAGGUUAAUGCUAAGAUUUAUUCUUGGAUACACUAUAUCGACGUAAUUUUGCGGGAUGGAUUGAAACGCGUACACUCUCGAUUAGCUGCAAACAAUAGAUCGGAAGGGACAACCGAGAAACAUGAAUAUUGUACUUGAGAGCUUAAAGAGAUAAAAACGAAAGAGUCGCAAAUUCAUUGUUAAGAAGUUUCAAUUUCAGUUCGUUCAAUAAGUUUUAUUUCUAGUACAAGUGUUCAAGAGUAACUGCAUAGCACAAAAAGCCAGAUGGUGUUACAGUGAUAGACGUAAUGCAGAAGGAGAAUAAACAUUAAACAUCACAUGACGCAUCCAAUAAUUGUAUGAAAUAGAAGGAGUGCGAUAUUCAUUAACCUAACACAAUAUUAAACUCUGUGAUGUGAGUUUUUGAGUAUGGAUUAAGUUCCAGCCUGCAUACAAAAGCAAUGCACCUCGACUGUAUAACAUACGUGUGACAUUGUCGAAUACGAUUGUAUCUUGGGCUAAGAUGAUUGAAUAAAUGAAUUUUUCUGUA